UGAUGUUUAAGGAUGGUAAUAGGUGAAUGGAGAGGGUUUCUCAUGUUGCCCUUGUGUUUUAUGGUUUUCGUUUUGCAUGUUGUUGCUUUAGCUUUGGGAUUUUCCCUUUGGUAAUGCUGUUGCAGAUCUUGUGGCUUAAAAGAGACGAUUUUGCAUAUCUGUUUCAAUUGUAAGAUCUAGAGCUUUCAUCGCUCUCUAUAAAAGUGUAGGCUUCCUUCUUUUGGUCUGGCAUGGAAUCUAUCAUUUGAUGGGCAACUCGUAUGGGUGCAAUGUAGUAGAUCUGUUCAGAAGGCGCGAAUGGGACACCAAAGAGACCCAUCGCCAAGGUUCUAUGCUUGCUCUGGUGCCGAUGCAAAGUUUCAGUGGUGUUUGUCUCCUUGGCCUGGGAUCUUCGUUGAUUCCCUGUCCCCUUGACAUUGCUGAGAAGAAUGUGAUAGUGGGACUCCCUUGUUCCUCAAUGGUUUUUAAGUCUUUAUAGCAUCAAUAGAUAGGAGAUCCACUAGUUUCGUCGCCACACAUGGCUGUGGGUGUCUUCUCCAAUGACAGACAGUGAAAUGGGCCAGCGACGAGAUGAUAGCUGUUUUCUUCUAGUGUCGGGCCAAGGUUUCGAGUGAUUAGGAAUGGUGAAGGGUCGGGAUUUUGUAGAUACUGAGUCACCGAAUCGAGUUUAGA
Molecule: unclassified non-coding RNA, 672 nt
Filed under: Hevea brasiliensis (rubber tree)
Lineage: Eukaryota; Viridiplantae; Streptophyta; Magnoliopsida; Malpighiales; Euphorbiaceae
Source: RNAcentral